This 76-nucleotide transfer RNA is filed under the name Felis catus (domestic cat). It matches the Rfam family "tRNA", at positions 8 to 63 of the family's 71-position model. From Rfam's summary of the family: Transfer RNA (tRNA) molecules are approximately 80 nucleotides in length. Lineage: Eukaryota; Metazoa; Chordata; Mammalia; Carnivora; Felidae. The record is from Rfam by way of RNAcentral. RNAcentral also lists the same sequence under 2 other names.
UGGCUCAGUCGGUUGAGUGUCGGACUCUUAAUUUUGGCUCAGGUCAUGAUCCGAAGGUUGUGGGAUCGAGCCCCAC